Molecule: ribosomal RNA, 496 nt
Filed under: uncultured bacterium
Lineage: Bacteria
Description: partial 16S ribosomal RNA
Rfam family: Bacterial small subunit ribosomal RNA
Source: RNAcentral
GAUGAACGCUGGCGGCGUGCCUAAUACAUGCAAGUCGAGCGAACAGACGAGGAGCUUGCUCCUCUGACGUUAGCGGCGGACGGGUGAGUAACACGUGGAUAACCUACCUAUAAGACUGGGAUAACUUCGGGAAACCGGAGCUAAUACCGGAUAAUAUAUUGAACCGCAUGGUUCAAUAGUGAAAGACGGUUUUGCUGUCACUUAUAGAUGGAUCCGCGCCGCAUUAGCUAGUUGGUAAGGUAACGGCUUACCAAGGCAACGAUGCGUAGCCGACCUGAGAGGGUGAUCGGCCACACUGGAACUGAGACACGUUCCAAACCCCUACGGAGGCCGGCAUUGGGGAAUCUUCCGCAAGGGCCGAAAGCCUAACGGAGCAACGCCGCUUGAUUGAUAAAGUCCUCCGGUUCGUAAACCUCUUUUAUAGGGAAGAACAAAUGUGUAAGUAACUAUGCACGUCUUGACGGUACCUAAUCAGAAAGCCACGGCUAACUACGUG